This 500-nucleotide ribosomal RNA is filed under the name uncultured bacterium. Its description in RNAcentral is "partial 16S ribosomal RNA". It matches the Rfam family "Bacterial small subunit ribosomal RNA", at positions 30 to 523 of the family's 1533-position model. The record is from RNAcentral.
AUUGAACGCUGGCGGCAUGCCUUACACAUGCAAGUCGAACGGCAGCACGGGAGCAAUCCUGGUGGCGAGUGGCGAACGGGUGAGUAAUAUAUCGGAACGUGCCCAGUCGUGGGGGAUAACGUAGCGAAAGCUACGCUAAUACCGCAUACGAUCUAUGGAUGAAAGCGGGGGAUCGCAAGACCUCGCGCGAUUGGAGCGGCCGAUAUCAGAUUAGGUAGUUGGUGAGGUAAAGGCUCACCAAGCCGACGAUCUGCAGCUGGUCUGAGAGGACGACCAGCCACACUGGGACUGAGACACGGCCCAGACGCCUACGGGAGGCAGCAGUGGGGAAUUUUGGACAAUGGGCGCAAGCCUGAUCCAGCAAUGCCGCGUGCAGGAUGAAGGCCUUCGGGUUGUAAACUGCUUUUGUACGGAACGAAACGGCGAGCUCUAAUACAGUUUGCUAAUGACGGUACCGUAAGAAUAGGCACCGGCUAACUACGUGCCAGCCGCCGCAGUAA